GGCACUUUGGCGGAGUGGUCAACGCGAUAGCCUGCUAUUUUCAGAAAUAUGACAGCUAUUUCCUUCGGGAGCCAGAGUUCGAAUCUCUGAGGUGUCG
This 97-nucleotide transfer RNA is filed under the name Diaporthe helianthi. It matches the Rfam family "tRNA". Rfam says of the family: Transfer RNA (tRNA) molecules are approximately 80 nucleotides in length. Their secondary structure includes four short double-helical elements and three loops (D, anti-codon, and T loops). Lineage: Eukaryota; Fungi; Ascomycota; Sordariomycetes; Diaporthales; Diaporthaceae. The record is from Rfam by way of RNAcentral.